UAGGGAAUAUUCCGCAAUGGGCGAAAGCCUGACGGAGCAACUCCGCGUGAGUGAAGAAGAUCUUCGGAUUGUAAAGCUCUGUCAACAGGGACGAUAAUGACGGUACCUGUGGAGGAAGCCACGGCAAACUACGUGCCAGCAGCCGCGGUAAUACGUAGGUGGCAAGCGUUGUCCGGAAUAACUGGGCGUAAAGCGCAUGUAGACGGCAUAGCAAGCCAAGUGUGAAAUUUAGGGGCUUAACCUCUAAACUGCGCUUGGAACUGCUGAGCUUGAGUGCAGGAGAGGCAAGUGGAAUUCCCAGUGUAGCAGUGAAAUGCGUAGAUAUUGGGAGGAACACCAGUUGCGAGGGCGGCUCUCUGGACUGUAACUGACACUGAGGCACGAAAGCGUGGGGAGCAAACA
RNAcentral lists this ribosomal RNA (402 nucleotides) under uncultured prokaryote. Its description in RNAcentral is "bacterial SSU rRNA". It matches the Rfam family "Bacterial small subunit ribosomal RNA", at positions 355 to 774 of the family's 1533-position model. The record is from RNAcentral.